Molecule: ribosomal RNA, 433 nt
Filed under: uncultured bacterium
Lineage: Bacteria
Description: partial 16S ribosomal RNA
Rfam family: Bacterial small subunit ribosomal RNA
Source: RNAcentral
AGCGAACGCUGGCGGCAGGCCUAACACAUGCAAGUCGAACGAACUCUUCGGAGUUAGUUGCGGACGGGUGGGUACCACGUGGGAACGUGCCUUUUGGUUCGGAAUACCUCAGGGAAACUUGUGCUAAUACCGAAUGUGCCCUUCGGGGGAAAGAUUUGUCGCCAUUAGAGCGGCCCUCGUCUGAUUAGCUAGUUGGUGAGGUAACGGCUCACCAAGGCGACGAUCAGUAGCUGGUCUGAGAGGAUGACCAGCCACGCUGGGACUGAGACACGGCCCAGGGUCCGACGGGAGGCAGCAGUGGGGAAUCUAGCGCGAUGGGCGAAAGCCUGACGAAGCCAUGCCGCGGGAAUGAUGAAGGUCCUAGGAUUGUAAAAUUCUUUCAGCGGGGACGAUAAUGACGGUACCCGGAGAAGAAGCCCCGGCUAACUUCGUG